This 60-nucleotide transfer RNA is filed under the name Bacillus anthracis (anthrax bacterium). RNAcentral describes it as "tRNA-Ser". It matches the Rfam family "tRNA", at positions 15 to 71 of the family's 71-position model. From Rfam's summary of the family: Transfer RNA (tRNA) molecules are approximately 80 nucleotides in length. The record is from RNAcentral. Lineage: Bacteria; Bacillati; Bacillota; Bacilli; Caryophanales; Bacillaceae.
GUGGUAAAACAAGAGCCUUCCAAGCUCUGGUCGAGAGUUCGAUUCUCUUCACCCGCUCCA